CGUGUAGGCGGCAUGGCAAGUCAAAGGUGAAAGCCCUCGGCUCAACCGAGGAACUGCCUUUGAAACUGCCAAGCUAGAGACUGGGAGGGGGUGGCGGAAUUCCUGGUGUAGCGGUGAAAUGCGUAGAUAUCAGGAGGAACACCGGUGGCGAAGGCGGCCACCUGGACCAGUUCUGACGCUGAGGCGCGAAAGCGUGGGGAGCAAACA
Molecule: ribosomal RNA, 207 nt
Filed under: uncultured bacterium
Lineage: Bacteria
Description: partial 16S ribosomal RNA
Rfam family: Bacterial small subunit ribosomal RNA
Source: RNAcentral